CAGCCGCCGCGGGAAUACGGAGGGUGCAAGCGUUAAUCGGAAUUACUGGGCGUAAAGCGCACGCAGGCGGUCUGACAAGUCAGAUGUGAAAUCCCCGGGCUUAACCUGGGAACUGCAUUUGAAACUGUCAGGCUGGAGUCUUGUAGAGGGGGGUGGAAUUCCAGGUGUAGCGGUGAAAUGCGUAGAGAUCUGGAGGAAUACCGGUGGCGAAGGCGGCCCCCUGGACAAAGACUGACGCUCAGGUGCGAAAGCGUGGGGAGCAAACAGGAUUAGAUACCCCUGUAGUCCCUGUCUCUUAUAA
This 301-nucleotide ribosomal RNA is filed under the name uncultured bacterium. RNAcentral's name for it is "partial 16S ribosomal RNA". It matches the Rfam family "Bacterial small subunit ribosomal RNA", at positions 509 to 809 of the family's 1533-position model. The record is from RNAcentral.